CUUCGGGUUGUAAAGCUCUUUCAGCCGGGAAGAAAACGCAUGGGUUAAUACCCUGUGUGGAUGACGGUACCGGAAUAAGAAGCACCGGCUAACUACGUGCCAGCAGCCGCGGUAAUACGUAGGGUGCGAGCGUUAAUCGGAAUUACUGGGCGUAAAGCGUGCGCAGGCGGUUUGUUAAGAUAGGCGUGAAAUCCCCGGGCUCAACCUGGGAACUGCGUUUAUGACUGGCAGGCUAGAGUAUGGCAGAGGGGGGUGGAAUUCCACGUGUAGCAGUGAAAUGCGUAGAGAUGUGGAGGAACACCGAUGGCGAAGGCAGCCCCCUGGGCCAAUACUGACGCUCAUGCACGAAAGCGUGGGUAGCAAACAGGAUUAGAUACCCUGGUAGUCCACGCCCUAAACGAUGUCAACUAGGUGUUGGGAGGGUAAAACCUUUUAGUACCGGAGCUAACGCGUGAAGUUGACCGCCUGGGGAGUACGGCCGCAAGGUUAAAACUCAAAGG
RNAcentral lists this ribosomal RNA (500 nucleotides) under uncultured bacterium. RNAcentral describes it as "bacterial SSU rRNA". It matches the Rfam family "Bacterial small subunit ribosomal RNA", at positions 416 to 907 of the family's 1533-position model. The record is from RNAcentral.